UACAAACUAUACGGUAUCUGAAGACACGUCGAUUCGAAUUAACAUCAAAUCGACGUCUUAAACAUUAAAAAUAAUAGAUAAACACAAUUUAAUAGUUUUGCCCACUUCUCACACCUCGUUAUGGUAUUUAAUCUAAUUUCCUUCUAAUCUUAGUUUUGCUCAAAAUACAUAUAACAUGUACGUUAUAAAUUGGAGUAUUUCAAUACACAAAUCAAUAGAAGAUUAUUACUGUAUAUAAGUAUAAUUUCAAUACAAUUCGAUCGAUAUAUUUCAGUAUCUUUGAUUAAAAAUUUAACGAUCCUUUCAGGCUGACCGCGGCGGACCACUGCUGAUACAACAUGAAUUAACCUCGUAUUUAAUAGGUAUUGUGUCUUAUGCUUAUAAGUGCGGCACAGCUGGGUAUCCCAGCGUUUACACUAGGGUCACAUCGUACCUUGACUUCAUUCUCCAAGCGAUGCAAUAAUAUGAUAUUACUGUUCCAUAAAUAUCAUUGUGUAAAAAACGUAAAGUUGGAUUUUCUUAUUGUGGAGAUAAGAAACAGCUCAAAUUUACAUUGUUUUGUACGUUACAAAUUAUAGGCUUAAAAUGUACGAAAUGUAACUUUGAAACGACACUAAUUUUUUACGCACGAUAAACCUCCACGACUUAGAUUAUAGAUUCCUAUACGACUCUCAGUAAAAAUUUAUCCGCACUCCAGAUAGUUAAAACUUCUGUCGACCGUAUUGAUCCAUCUGCACUCUUCGUAUGACGUCAAUAUCUGUUCAGUGCUGCUGCGCAGGUUUCUUUGUGUUACGUCAAUUCGUUUGUGACCGUUGCGCGAGUAAUGGCGCUUUGCAAUGGUGAUUUGCAGGAAAACAGUGCAGGAUGCUGUGAUUCGUUUCUUGUGGUCGGAGGUUAUGUUUGAUGCCUAUAUUUAUCAAAGAUUUAAUGCACAUUAUGGAGAAAGUGUUUUGUCACGAAGUGUGUUUGAAUGGGCACAAAAGUUCAAAGAAGAUCGCACGAGUGUUAUGAAAAAACAGCUGGACGCCCGUCCACAUCCACGAUGACAACAUUGAACGUGCUCAUGAACUUAUGCUCUAUGGAAUAGACGAGUGACACUGGAUAAUGUGGCAAAUCAUUUGCAAAUCAGCCACGGCUCUGCUUAUGCAAUAGUGCACGACAGAUUUGGAUUUUAAAAAGUUUGUGCGAGAUGGAUGCCGAAAAAGCUGAUGAAAAGGUGAAGACGACGAUGCAUUCGUGGUUCGCAGCUCAGCCCAAAACAUUUUUUAAUGAGAAAAUACAAAGGUCCUUCGGCAAAUGGACAAAGUGUAUACAGAAAUCGAGUGAUUAUGUCAAAAAAUGAUGUAUGUCUUUUUUGACAAUUGCUUAAAAUAAAUUCUACACCGACAGAGCGGGCUGUUAAUCUAGAGGCUGGAGUACAAAGAAGUGGCACAAUGAUGUGGGCUGAUGACAUUUAUAAUUAUCAAGGAAUCACCCCUACAUUCGCUCAGAAUUUUAAUGAAACUGUCCCUUGGGAAGGAAGAACUGAUACCUUGAUAUCACGGUUUGUACAUCCUAUAUAUACGACAAAUUUUAGAACAUUAUAUAACGAAGAACCAGAUCGUCGUGGCCAUGUGAUGUGAAUAAAAGGACUUGAAUUUGAUGAUAUUUUUAUAAUGUUAGAUAACAUAACUAAGUAUCUUCACAGUAAGAUAGGAUGACAUGGUUUACAUGAUCUUAAUGUUGUUCACUCGAGUGAUGAUAUUAUAAGGAAAAGCGUAAUAUCACAGGAUAUUUAUGUUUAGUAACCAGUAAUUCAGAGAUUGGUAUUCAUGGUUACUAUAACGAGGCUGUAGAAACGCACCCUUUCUUCUUUGCAAAUGGUCCUGUAUUUAUGUCUAAGCCGAAACUGGAACCUCUGAAUAAUUUAGAUUUAUUCUUGUUAUUUUCUAAAAUACUUAUCUACAGUAUACCAUAAGGAAUGAUACCGUAUCGCACCUAAUCAAGUGCCUUAAGAAACAUCAACAGGAUAUCA
This is a long non-coding RNA of Bombus huntii, 2014 nucleotides long. RefSeq lists it as uncharacterized. The record is from RefSeq and is a predicted model, not a curated record. Lineage: Eukaryota; Metazoa; Arthropoda; Insecta; Hymenoptera; Apidae. The transcript is spliced from 5 exons.